Non-coding RNA from Infundibulicybe gibba, 91 nucleotides. The record is from the annotation of a GenBank genome assembly. NCBI's taxonomy places the organism in Eukaryota, Fungi, Basidiomycota, Agaricomycetes, Agaricales, Omphalinaceae.
GACACUAUAGCCAAGUGGUUACGGCGACAGAUUUGAAUUACUCACUAUCUGUUCCUCUUUGAGGGCGGAGGUUCGAACCCUCCUGGUGUCG